GGUCCUUACAGAUUUGCUAUUGAGGUACAGUGGUUGCAUCCCUUACUUAUCCAACACUACUGUCUACUAGCAUGCUAUUCUAGAAAUUCAUUACCUUAUAAGUUUGUGGCAGCCUCUUUAUGGUGGCUAUUGCCAUGGUUUACUCAAGAAUACUUGUGGCUAAUGCUAUAAUUAUUCAGCUUGAACCUAUCCUGAUUUCGAAGCCUCAUAGUUAAUGAAUUGGCUUAAAGCAUCAGCAUGCAUCAAAUUAAAUUUGGCUUAAAGCUAAAUUUCAUCCCUGUAUAUAUUGGGGAAGUUCAAUUUAGCUCAUUUUCAACUUUUUAUCCAAAUUAGUCUAGAAGUUUUAAUUUAAGCUCAAUUUAGUUUAAAAUUCAAGAAAAUCAAGAACUGAGCUUGUUGAUUUUUGCACUGAAAUCAAGAAAUUUAGCUUUAAAAUCAAGAAAUUGAACUUCUUGAUUUUUGAGACCAAAUUGAAACUUCUAGGUUAAUUUAGACAAAAAGUUGCAAAUGGGCUAAAUAGAACUUCCCCAAUAAGUGCAAGAGCUAAAUUGAACAUUUUGCCCAAUAUUUUCACUGGUUUCUGUUUUCUGGACAAAUAAAAUAGGAUGAUUCAAACCCAACUACUCCUUUUUUUCCCUCGCGUUAUUACUUGUAUUAAUCAGGAUUCAUUAGUGUCCCAAAUAAUACCUUCAACCAUAAAUUCUUGUCUAGUUUUUAUGCUCAGCUACUACUGGAUGGCCAAAAAAAGCCAUGAAUGACUAACCAGAAUAAAAAAUUUUAAAAUCAGUAAAACAAUGAGAAAAUAAUGUAUUUUUAUACAUCUGUUUAGAACCCUUGCUCAUAUAAGAAUACUCCACUUUCUCAUAUAAAAAGAUGUCAAGAUUUACCAUUUUGCUACCAGAGAGUUCCUUCUUCAGGUUCUCAAGAUCGUCAUCAACUGAUGAGCUCUCAAGU
Molecule: unclassified non-coding RNA, 954 nt
Filed under: Hevea brasiliensis (rubber tree)
Lineage: Eukaryota; Viridiplantae; Streptophyta; Magnoliopsida; Malpighiales; Euphorbiaceae
Source: RNAcentral